GACGAACGCUGGCGGCGUGCUUAACACAUGCAAGUCGAACGGAAAGGCCCUGCUUGCAGGGUACUCGAGUGGCGAACGGGUGAGUAACACGUGGGUGAUCUGCCCUGCACUUCGGGAUAAGCCUGGGAAGCUGGGUCUAAUACCGGAUAGGAGCCAUUUUUAGUGUGAUGGUUGGAAAGUUUUUUCGGUGUAGGAUGAGCUCGCGGCCUAUCAGCUUGUUGGUGGGGUAAUGGCCUACCAAGGCGGCGACGGGUAGCCGGCCUGAGAGGGUGGACGGCCACAUUGGGACUGAGAUACGGCCCAGACUCCUACGGGAGGCAGCAGUGGGGAAGAUUGCACAAUGGGCGCAAGCCUGAUGCAGCGACGCCGCGUGGGGGAUGACGGCCUUCGGGUUGUAAACUCCUUUCGCUAGGGACGAAGCUUUUUGUGACGGUACCUAGAUAAGAAGCACCGGCUAACUACGUG
This 465-nucleotide ribosomal RNA is filed under the name uncultured bacterium. RNAcentral's name for it is "partial 16S ribosomal RNA". It matches the Rfam family "Bacterial small subunit ribosomal RNA", at positions 28 to 507 of the family's 1533-position model. The record is from RNAcentral.